RNAcentral lists this long non-coding RNA (202 nucleotides) under Durio zibethinus. RNAcentral's name for it is "long non-coding RNA (DZIB_LNC002227)". Lineage: Eukaryota; Viridiplantae; Streptophyta; Magnoliopsida; Malvales; Malvaceae. The record is from RNAcentral.
UCUCAUGAUCUGUCUUGCCAUCAUAUGUCCACUAGUAUGUGCCCCACAUAUUCCAUCAUGCACCUCUUUAAUGAUUUUCUUCGCUUCAGUCUCAUUUACGCACCUCAAUAAUACUUGAUCCUUGCUUCUUUUGUACAGGACAUCCCCAUCCAGGAAAAAGCUCAUAGCCAAUCUUCGGAUGACCCUUUUAUCAUUUUUUGUU